Molecule: ribosomal RNA, 142 nt
Filed under: uncultured eukaryote
Lineage: Eukaryota
Description: partial 18S ribosomal RNA
Rfam family: Eukaryotic small subunit ribosomal RNA
Source: RNAcentral
UGGUGGAGUGAUUUGUCUGGUUAAUUCCGUUAACGAACGAGACCUCCGCCUGCUAAAUAAUUUGCAUGCAAUUGAUUUUGCGUGUCUAAAUUACUUAGAGGGACUUUUAGUGAUUAACUAAAGGAAGUUGGAGGCAAUAACA